Molecule: ribosomal RNA, 543 nt
Filed under: Ammospermophilus harrisii (Harris's antelope squirrel)
Lineage: Eukaryota; Metazoa; Chordata; Mammalia; Rodentia; Sciuridae
Description: partial 16S ribosomal RNA
Rfam family: Bacterial large subunit ribosomal RNA
Source: RNAcentral
ACCUCUAGCAUAAACAGUAUUAGAGGCACUGCCUGCCCAGUGACACACGUUUAACGGCCGCGGUAUCCUGACCGUGCAAAGGUAGCAUAAUCACUUGUUCUUUAAAUGAGGACUAGUAUGAAUGGCUUGACGAGGGUUUAACUGUCUCUUACUUUUGAUCAGUGAAAUUGACCUUCCCGUGAAGAGGCGGGAAUUUAUUAAUAAGACGAGAAGACCCUAUGGAGCUUAAAUUUUAUAGUCUUACAACCUUAACAACCACCCAAGGGAAUAAAACAAUUGUACACAGACUAGAAAUUUUGGUUGGGGUGACCUCGGAGUACAGACAAACCUCCGAAUGAUAAUAAUCUAGACACAACAUGUCCAAAUUAAAAUUCAUAAAUUGACCCAAAUUAUUGACCAACGGAACAAGUUACCCUAGGGAUAACAGCGCAAUCCUACUCAAGAGUUCAUAUCGACAGUCAGGGUUUACGACCUCGAUGUUGGAUCAGGACAUCCAAAUGGUGUAACCGCUAUUAAUGGUUCGUUUGUUCAACGAUUAAAGUC